CUCUGAUGUUAGCGGCGGACGGGUGAGUAACACGUGGGUAACCUACCUAUAAGACUGGGAUAACUCCGGGAAACCGGGGCUAAUACCGGAUAAUAUUUUGAACCGCAUGGUUCAAUAGUGAAAGACGGUUUCGGCUGUCACUUAUAGAUGGACCCGCGCCGUAUUAGCUAGUUGGUAAGGUAACGGCUUACCAAGGCGACGAUACGUAGCCGACCUGAGAGGGUGAUCGGCCACACUGGAACUGAGACACGGUCCAGACUCCUACGGGAGGCAGCAGUAGGGAAUCUUCCGCAAUGGGCGAAAGCCUGACGGAGCAACGCCGCGUGAGUGAUGAAGGUCUUCGGAUCGUAAAACUCUGUUGUUAGGGAAGAACAAAUUUGUUAGUAACUGAACAAGUCUUGACGGUACCUAACCAGAAAGCCACGGCUAACUACGUGCCAGCAGCCGCGGUAAUACGUAGGUGGCAAGCGUUAUCCGGAAUUAUUGGGCGUAAAGCGCGCGUAGGCGGUUUCUUAAGUCUGAUGUGAAAGCCCACGGCUCAACCGUGGAGGGUCAUUGGAAACUGGGAAACUUGAGUGCAGAAGAGGAGAGUGGAAUUCCAUGUGUAGCGGUGAAAUGCGCAGAGAUAUGGAGGAACACCAGUGGCGAAGGCGGCUCUCUGGUCUGUAACUGACGCUGAUGUGCGAAAGCGUGGGGAUCAAACAGGAUUAGAUACCCUGGUAGUCCACGCCGUAAACGAUGAGUGCUAAGUGUUAGGGGGUUUCCGCCCCUUAGUGCUGCAGCUAACGCAUUAAGCACUCCGCCUGGGGAGUACGACCGCAAGGUUGAAACUCAAAGGAAUUGACGGGGACCCGCACAAGCGGUGGAGCAUGUGGUUUAAUUCGAAGCAACGCGAAGAACCUUACCAAAUCUUGACAUCCUUUGACCGCUCUAGAGAUAGAGUCUUCCCCUUCGGGGGACAAAGUGACAGGUGGUGCAUGGUUGUCGUCAGCUCGUGUCGUGAGAUGUUGGGUUAAGUCCCGCAACGAGCGCAACCCUUAAGCUUAGUUGCCAUCAUUAAGUUGGGCACUCUAGGUUGACUGCCGGUGACAAACCGGAGGAAGGUGGGGAUGACGUCAAAUCAUCAUGCCCCUUAUGAUUUGGGCUACACACGUGCUACAAUGGAUAAUACAAAGGGCAGCGAAUCCGCGAGGCCAAGCAAAUCCCAUAAAAUUAUUCUCAGUUCGGAUUGUAGUCUGCAACUCGACUACAUGAAGCUGGAAUCGCUAGUAAUCGUAGAUCAGCAUGCUACGGUGAAUACGUUCCCGGGUCUUGUACACACCGCCCGUCACACCACGAGAGUUUGUAACACCCGAAGCCGGUGGAGUAACC
Molecule: ribosomal RNA, 1371 nt
Filed under: Staphylococcus sp. M03(2011)
Lineage: Bacteria; Bacillati; Bacillota; Bacilli; Caryophanales; Staphylococcaceae
Description: bacterial SSU rRNA
Rfam family: Bacterial small subunit ribosomal RNA
Source: RNAcentral